GGGCAGGUGGCAGAGUGGUCAAUUGCACGACGCUGUAAACGUCGCGACCUUACGGUCUACGGGGGUUCGACUCCCUCCCUGCCCA
Molecule: transfer RNA, 85 nt
Filed under: Candidatus Gottesmanbacteria bacterium
Lineage: Bacteria; Candidatus Gottesmaniibacteriota
Description: tRNA-Tyr
Rfam family: tRNA
About the family: Transfer RNA (tRNA) molecules are approximately 80 nucleotides in length. Their secondary structure includes four short double-helical elements and three loops (D, anti-codon, and T loops).
Source: RNAcentral